This 423-nucleotide ribosomal RNA is filed under the name uncultured bacterium. RNAcentral describes it as "bacterial SSU rRNA". It matches the Rfam family "Bacterial small subunit ribosomal RNA", at positions 356 to 773 of the family's 1533-position model. The record is from RNAcentral.
AGGGAAUCUUCCGCAAUGGACGAAAGUCUGACGGAGCAACGCCGCGUGAGUGGUGAAGGUUUUCGGAUCGUAAAGCUCUGUUGCCAGGGAAGAACGUCUUCUGGAGUAACUGCCAGGAGAGUGACGGUACCUGAGAAGAAAGCCCCGGCUAACUACGUGCCAGCAGCCGCGGUAAUACGUAGGGGCAAGCGUUGUCCGGAAUUAUUGGGCGUAAAGCGCGCGCAGGCGGCUGUUUAAGUCUGGUGUUUAAUCCUGGGGCUCAACCCCGGGUCGCACUGGAAACUGGACGGCUUGAGUGCAGAAGAGGAGAGUGGAAUUCCACGUGUAGCGGUGAAAUGCGUAGAGAUGUGGAGGAACACCAGUGGCGAAGGCGGCUCUCUGGUCUGUAACUGACGCUGAGGCGCGAAAGCGUGGGGAGCAAAC